AUCUAGCUGACUAGUCCCAUAUAGGACGAAACGCAUGUUUCCUGAAU
RNAcentral lists this non-coding RNA (47 nucleotides) under Schistosoma mansoni. Lineage: Eukaryota; Metazoa; Platyhelminthes; Trematoda; Strigeidida; Schistosomatidae. The record is from RNAcentral.